CAGGACAUAUCCUGGACACAGCCAGAAGAGAACAAGUCUGUUCCAACUGCUGAUCAGCAUGAGCCAAACAAAAAGGUAUGGCAGGACAUAUCCUGGACACAACCAGAAGAGAACAUGUCUUUUCCAACUUCUGACCAGCAAGAGCCAAACGAAAAGGCAGGCCCAUUAACAGAUGGCGAUGAUCCUGUGUAUCCCGGCGCACCUCUGACAAAAGGACAAAGUUUACUGUUGCUAAUGUCCUUUAUACUAAGGCACAAUCUUAC
Molecule: long non-coding RNA, 263 nt
Organism: Carassius gibelio (silver crucian carp)
Lineage: Eukaryota; Metazoa; Chordata; Actinopteri; Cypriniformes; Cyprinidae
Exons: 3
Source: RefSeq, a predicted model, not a curated record